CUGGCGGCAGGCCUAACACAUGCAAGUCGAGCGGUAACAUUUCCAGCUUGCUAGAAGAUGACGAGCGGCGGACGGGUGAGUAAUACUUGGGGAUCUGCCUGAUGGCGGGGGACAACCACUGGAAACGGUGGCUAAUACCGCAUAAUACCUACGGGUCAAAGUGUGGGACCUUCGGGCCACACGCCAUCAGAUGAACCCAAGCGAGAUUAGCUAGUUGGUGAGGUAACGGCUCACCAAGGCGACGAUCUCUAGCUGUUCUGAGAGGAUGAUCAGCCACACUGGGACUGAGACACGGCCCAGACUCCUACGGGAGGCAGCAGUGGGGAAUAUUGGACAAUGGGCGCAAGCCUGAUCCAGCCAUGCCGCGUGUGUGAAGAAGGCCUUCGGGUUGUAAAGCACUUUCAGUGGUGAGGAAGGCGUUGUAGUUAAUAGCUGCAACGAUUGACGUUAGCCACAGAAGAAGCACCGGCUAACUCCGUGCCAGCAGCCGCGGUAAUACGGAGGGUGCGAGCGUUAAUCGGAAUUACUGGGCGUAAAGCGCACGUAGGCGGCUUGUUAAGCAAGAUGUGAAAGCCCAGGGCUCAACCUUGGAAUUGCAUUUUGAACUGGCAAGCUAGAGUUUUGAAGAGGGUGGUAGAAUUUCCAGUGUAGCGGUGAAAUGCGUAGAUAUUGGAAGGAAUACCAGUGGCGAAGGCGGCCACCUGGUCAAAAACUGACGCUGAGGAGCGAAAGCGUGGGGAGCAAACAGGAUUAGAUACCCUGGUAGUCCACGCCGUAAACGAUGUCAACUAGUUGUUCGUGUCUUUGAGACGUGAGUAACGCAGCUAACGCACUAAGUUGACCGCCUGGGGAGUACGGCCGCAAGGUUAAAAC
RNAcentral lists this ribosomal RNA (873 nucleotides) under Aliidiomarina sp. RNAcentral describes it as "bacterial SSU rRNA". It matches the Rfam family "Bacterial small subunit ribosomal RNA", at positions 36 to 900 of the family's 1533-position model. Lineage: Bacteria; Pseudomonadati; Pseudomonadota; Gammaproteobacteria; Alteromonadales; Idiomarinaceae. The record is from RNAcentral.